AAUGGAUCUUUGCCUAAAGGGCGCUUAGACCAUGCUUCUAGGCGUUGCCCAAGGAUGGGGCCGCGGCCGAUCAGGUUGUUGGUGAGGUAAUGGCUCACCAAGCCUUUAACCGGUACGGGCCGUGGGAGCGGGAGCCCGGAGAUGGGCACUGAGACAAGGGCCCAGGCCCUACGGGGCGCAGCAGUCGCGAAAACUCCGCAAUACGCGAAGGCGUGACGGGGUCAUCCCGAGUGCCGUCCGCUGAGGAUGGCUUUUCCCCAUUGUAGAUAGCUGGAGGAAUAAGGAGAGGGCAAGUCUGGUGUCAGCCGCCGCGGUAAUACCAGCUCUCCGAGUGGUGGGGAUGUUUAUUGGGCCUGAAGCAUCCGUAGCCGGCUCGGCAAGUCCCCAGUUAAAUCCAACGAUCUAAUCGUUGGACUGCUGAGGAUACUGUCCGGCUAGGGGGCGGGAGAGGUCGACGGUAUUCCCGGGGUAGGGGUGAAAUCCUAUAAUCCCGGAAGGACACCAGUGGCGAAGGCUGUCGGCUAGAACAUGCCCGACGGUGAGGGAUGAAAGCUGGGGGAGCGAACCGGAUUAGAUACCCGGGUAGUCCCAGCUGUAAACGAUGCAGGCUAGGUGUUAGGGCGGCCACGUGCCGCUCUAGUGCCGCAGGGAAGCUGUUAAGCCUGCCGCCUGGGGAGUACGGCCGCAAGGCUGAAACUUAAAGGAAUUGGCGGGGGAGCACCACAAGGGGUGAAGCUUGCGGUUUAAUUGGAGUCAACGCCGGAAAUCUCACCGGGGGCGACAGCAGGAUGAAAGCCAGAUUAAAGGUCUUGCCAGACGAGCUGAGAGGAGGUGCAUGGCCGUCGCCAGUUCGUGCCGUGAGGUGUCCUGUUAAGUCAGGCAACGAUCGAGACCCGCAUCUCCAGUUGCUACCAGCCAUGUGUUGGGCACACUGGGGAGACCGCCGCCGAUAAGGCGGAGGAAGGAGCGGGCCACGGCAGGUCAGUAUGCCCCGAAUCUCCCGGGCCACACGCGAGCUGCAAUGGCAGGUACAAUGGGUUCCAACUCCGUAAGGAGGAGGCAAUCUCUAAAGCCUGCCGUAGUUGGGAUCGAGGGUUGUAACUCACCCUCGUGAACAU
This 1118-nucleotide ribosomal RNA is filed under the name uncultured crenarchaeote. RNAcentral describes it as "bacterial SSU rRNA". It matches the Rfam family "Archaeal small subunit ribosomal RNA", at positions 174 to 1283 of the family's 1478-position model. Lineage: Archaea; Thermoproteati; Thermoproteota. The record is from RNAcentral.